AAUUAGUUUCGAAAAUAUAAUUAAUAUCCUUAGUUUUGUCAAACGUAAUUUUUGGUCAGAAUGGGCACACGCGAUCAGAAACCUCGAGAUUUCGUCGCGCUAUCUCGAAACCUAUCGGCGGACUUGAGGAGAGCGAGAUUGACGCAAAUGAAAUGGUUUCAGAAGUACGAACCGCUGUUGCGGGAAUACGAAAAACUUCAGCAGGAAGUGCGAGAACUGUACAAAGAGAAAAGAGUCAAAAUUGAGGAUGACAUCGAACGGGAUACGAGGACAUGUUUGCCGAGACCGAUCACAAACAGCGGCGAGUACGGAUGGUUAGCUGCAAAAUCAGAAUUUUGCUUGGAGAGAUACGGCCCGUGCGUUGCGAAGUAUCCCAAUCCUCUGAAAGACAUAAUUCUCCUCCGAGGAGAUAUACCGAGUCUCGCAUCGGGCAAGGGUUUCCUUUGAAACGCUUCUCCGACUCUUCAAUUUUUUUUAUUACAGAGUUGCUUUUUUAUAAAAUACAGGUGACGUUAGAUAACUUCAGACAAAACGAAUUGCGAAAAUGUGCGCAAAUUAUAAUAUUUACCGUCGCAUUUGGAACCGUCC
This is an RNA transcript of Pseudomyrmex gracilis, 588 nucleotides long. RefSeq lists it as uncharacterized. The transcript has 4 exons. The record is from RefSeq and is a predicted model, not a curated record. NCBI's taxonomy places the organism in Eukaryota, Metazoa, Arthropoda, Insecta, Hymenoptera, Formicidae.